UACAAAAAAAAACGAGCACAUCAGCUCUAAAUAACGAGAAAUACAAUAUAAAUAUUUUUUUAAAACUAAAAAGAAAUAACUGCUUACAAGUUCGGUAAGUAUUUACUCAUGCCGACUUCAAUUAAAUUUUCAACAAUAUCAAUUUAUUUAUAAAUAAUUUACAAAUUAAUCUCAUCUGAAUUUUCCACCAAACCUUGUUGCUGAAGAAGACUCAAGUUUUCCCCACCUACCAGUUGCGCAAGCUUCC
RNAcentral lists this long non-coding RNA (247 nucleotides) under Brassica rapa (field mustard). RNAcentral describes it as "long non-coding RNA (BRAP_LNC005516)". The record is from RNAcentral. Lineage: Eukaryota; Viridiplantae; Streptophyta; Magnoliopsida; Brassicales; Brassicaceae.